GAGGUCUUCGGAUUGGCUUUGGGGAGCCGGCGACGGCACCCUAUCGCUGAGAAGUCGAUCAAACUUGGUCAUUUAGAGGAAGUAAAAGUCGUAACAAGGUUUCCGUAGGUGAACCUGCGGAAGGAUCAUUAUUGAAAUUAUAGGUGAGGGUUGUAGCUGGCCUCUCGGGGCAUGUGCACGCCCGAGCCCUUAAUCCACACACACCUGUGAACCUAUUGUAAGGGCCCUUAAAAAAGGCCUUUACGUCUUAUCAUCAACCCAUCGUAUGUCUCAUAGAAUGUAAAUAUAUGUCCUCGCCUUAAAAAGCGUUGAUAAACUUAUACAACUUUCAACAACGGAUCUCUUGGCUCUCGCAUCGAUGAAGAACGCAGCGAAAUGCGAUAAGUAAUGUGAAUUGCAGAUUUUCAGUGAAUCAUCGAAUCUUUGAACGCACCUUGCGCUCCUUGGUAUUCCGAGGAGCAUGCCUGUUUGAGUGUCAUUAAAUUCUCAACUCUGAUCGAUUUGUUUCGACUUCGGAGCUUGGAUUUGGAGCGUGCUGGCGUCGGUCGGCUCCUCUUAAAUGCAUCAGCGGAAUCUAACGUUUCGGANGUCAGUGUGAUAAUCAUGUUGCGCUGUCUGUCUGAUCCGAAAGCCCGCUCACAAUGGUCUUCGGACAACUUCAUAUCAAAUUUGACCUCAAAUCAGGUAGGACUACCCGCUGAACUUAAGCAUAUCAAUAAGCGGAGGAAAAGAAACUAACAAGGAUUCCCCUAGUAACUGCGAGUGAAGCGGGAAAAGCUCAAAUUUAAAAUCUGGCGGUCUUNCGGCCGUCCGAGUUGUAAUCUGGAGAAGCGUUUAUCCGCGUCGGACCGUGUACAAGUCUUCUGGAAGGGAGCGUCGUAGAGGGUGAGAAUCCCGUCUUUGACACGGAC
RNAcentral lists this ribosomal RNA (911 nucleotides) under Piloderma olivaceum. RNAcentral describes it as "eukaryotic LSU rRNA". The stretch from base 671 to 911 matches the Rfam family "Eukaryotic large subunit ribosomal RNA", at positions 1 to 235 of the family's 3401-position model. The record is from RNAcentral. Lineage: Eukaryota; Fungi; Basidiomycota; Agaricomycetes; Atheliales; Atheliaceae.